AACAUCAUCACCAUUCGCUUAUGCGGAAGUUAUAACCUUUCGAAAAGAAUCUGUGGAAACCGACCAACAACUAAGGUUUCAACUUAUACUAGUUUUCAAGAUAGUACUAGUUUCGAAUUUAUAAAACUACUGUUCUACUAAUGUUCGAGUACUCACCGUACUUAAUUAAUCAGGAGCAGAUUAAUUGGAGAUCUUCAUAAGUGUUUACGUCAUCGCUAGCGUGGUAACCUGGUGAACCUUGGUGGAGACCUAAAAAAAAA
This is a non-coding RNA of Onthophagus taurus, 260 nucleotides long. NCBI's taxonomy places the organism in Eukaryota, Metazoa, Arthropoda, Insecta, Coleoptera, Scarabaeidae. The record is from RefSeq and is a predicted model, not a curated record.